RNAcentral lists this ribosomal RNA (493 nucleotides) under uncultured bacterium. RNAcentral's name for it is "partial 16S ribosomal RNA". It matches the Rfam family "Bacterial small subunit ribosomal RNA", at positions 28 to 506 of the family's 1533-position model. The record is from RNAcentral.
GACGAACGCUGGCGGCGUGCUUAACACAUGCAAGUCGAACGGUGAAGCGCCUUCCUUUUUGGUGGGUGUGGAUGAGUGGCGAACGGGUGAGUAACACGUGAGUAACCUGCCCCCUUCUUCUGGAUAACCGCAUGAAAGUGUGGCUAAUACGGGAUAUUCUGGGUCUGUCGCAUGAUGGGUCUGGGAAAGAUAUUGUUUCGGUGGGGGAUGGGCUCGCGGCCUAUCAGCUUGUUGGUGGGGUGAUGGCCUACCAAGGCGGUGACGGGUAGCCGGCCUGAGAGGGUGGACGGUCACACUGGGACUGAGACACGGCCCAGACUCCUACGGGAGGCAGCAGUGGGGAAUAUUGCACAAUGGGCGCAAGCCUGAUGCAGCGACGCCGCGUGAGGGAUGGAGGCCUUCGGGUGGGGAACCUCUUUCGCCAGUGAAGCAGGCCUGCCUCGUUUGUGGGUGGGUUGACGGUAGCUGGAUAAGAAGCGCCGGCUAACUACGU